Molecule: RNA transcript, 2973 nt
Organism: Danaus plexippus (monarch butterfly)
Lineage: Eukaryota; Metazoa; Arthropoda; Insecta; Lepidoptera; Nymphalidae
Gene name: deubiquitinase DESI2
Exons: 9
Source: RefSeq, a predicted model, not a curated record
ACAAUUCUGCCUGCUCUCCCUCCGCAACCAGCAAUCAGCAUUAAAAAACCAAAAAUGUCAGUGUUGUAUUAAAAGAAGUUAGCACAUUGUGUUCAUAUAUAUUUAACGAAAUCUCAAAUCUUACUCAAACCUACAUCAAAUAUACCAUCAAAUAGUAUUUGAUGUUGUUUCAACGAUGACGCUUAUGGAUUGAGGCAGGCCUAAAUUUUAUGGGAAAAGGCUUACCAACGGGAUAAAUUUCAUUUAAACUUAAAGUGAAGGAUGUCUCUGAUUGUCCGGUUAGGACAUGUGUAGAAAUGAAGAGAUGUGAAGCGUGCCGUAAUCGUUCUGAGCGGGGUGCUCCUCGAUCAGGAGACCGAGACCCCCUCCUUACGUCCCCUAUCUUGCAGGAGGACCCCCAAGAUUUACCGAACUUAACUUGCGGCAUCUGUACGAUGUUUCCAUCGUGCAUGUCUCUGCUGCCGCGGAGGGCGGAGCCCCGGCCCCCUCGGCCGGGCCAGGCGGCCGUUGUACUCAAUGUAUACGACAUGUAUUGGACGAAUUGGUACACAGCCGGGGCGGGUGUUGGCGUGUUCCACAGCGGUGUACAAGUCCACGGCUCGGAGUGGGCUUACGGCGGCCAUCCAUACGCUUUCACGGGAGUUUUCGAGAUAACUCCCAGAGACGAAAGGGAGUUGGGGGAGCAGUUCCGUUUCCGGCAAAGCGUUCACAUAGGAUACACGGAUUUCAGUGAAGAAGAGGUCAGGCGACUGGUCAAUGAAUUAGGCAAGCAGUUCCGGGGCGACAGAUACCACCUCAUGAACAAUAACUGUAAUCACUUCACGUCAGCGUUCUGUUUGGCGCUCUGUUCCCGCGACAUACCGUCCUGGGUGAACCGUCUAGCGUAUGUCAGCUCGUGCGUGCCAUUCUUACAGCGGUGUUUACCAAAGUAAGAUAUUAAAGAGGGAGUGGCUGACCCCGGCCGCUCUCCAACACUCCCUCGCCGCACACUCGCGGUCCUCGUCUCCCGCCACACCGGACUCGCAGGCGUCACAAUAGCGCCACGAAAACCUGCCGCAGUGCAGAGUCAAAAGAAAACGUGUUGUGCGUAAAACAUAGCUGUUAUAUAUACGGCCAUCACUUUGGCGCAUUGUCGAAUCAUAAUAGUAUAGAGUUGCCAGAACUAAAUAUGUAAAUAACCUAAGAGAUGUAUUACGUUCGACUAGUUGUACACUUGUAUAGGGAACUCGACGCCUGGCAACACUGAGCGCAUCGCAUCGAUGCAUUGAUGAUGGAAUAAAAAAUAUGCAUUUUGUUUUGUCCUUAUUUUAUGAAAUAGUUUCUUUAAGCCGAGCUAAUUAACCGAAGAGUGCCUCAAUAAAUUAUAAAAAAAAUAACGCCUCAUUCAUUUGUAAAGUUUUAUUCGGAUUUUAGACGCGUUUAUUAAAAAAAAAUAUAUGCUCAAUUCAGUAACUAUAAAGUUCCUACAUAUUGGCAUACCAGAUUUGAUUUCGUUCAUUCAUUCAUUCGCUCUUUUGUUUUCGCUCAUCAUUCAAUAUUAACCGAAACAUAUUAAAUUCACUCGUAGCAGUCAUAGGGAUCCGUCCGAUAAAUUUCAUAGCUACGUGUUAAACGAGUCCUAACACGCUGUUAAUAAAGACAACCUGAAACGUAAUUAGAAGGUAUCAUAGAAAUAAAAUCACAAUUAAUAAUAAAAUGAAUGAUUUAGUACUAAACUAACGAAUAUUAAUCGAACGAAUUAAUUUAAACGGUAGUUAAAUUAUCUACAGAUAAUAUAGUGCCUAUAACUACUUAGUGACUUAGAUAUUGUAAGUACAUUUGUUAAUAUUAGAUAAAAAAAAAAUAACUACAUGUUAUUCCAUUAACACAUCAGAUUUAGUGUAAAUAAAACAUUUCUUCCAUUCAUAAUUAAAGUUAUAUUAUAAUCUAUUAGAAUUUAUCGACCUUUGACAAUGCGCCAUUUUGGGACGCUUCUCAAUGUUGACGUUUAACGAGUGUCGAGCAAUAAAAUUAAUUUGAAACAAACGAGAAACGUCUCAAUGGAUGGUUUUAUUAUUGAAAUGUAAAAUAUUUGAUAUAAAACGAUUGUUUAUAAGAUUUUUUUGAUAUUUUAUAGUUGGACCGACACAAAUAAUAUGUAAGUGAGUUCCCGCCAUAUUGAAUCGUUUGAAAGUGCCACUUGAUUGUUGCGAAUAGUUUUAAAAUAUUUUAUACUUAGAUUAUAUAUGGCGACGUAUAGUUGGGUAUUGUAUGAUUUAUGUAUUAAAAAAAAUGUCUGUGUGUAUUUUUUAUUCCUUUUACUUGCGACGGUUGUUUUUAACUAUGGUUUCCAACCAAAGAUGACAAUUUUGUUAUUUUCGAUGUAAUUUUAACAUUUUCAGCAACCGUUUUAUUUAAAGCUGGUUUACAAUCGAUUGUAUGAGACUUGUUAGUACAUGAUGUAAGGAAUGGUAUACAAACACAUUGUACCUAAUAAUAAUGUUUAGUCGUAAUGUUAAGAUAUUGUUUGCAUUUAAAGCUUUUCAUUUUAUAUUUUUAGUUUUAGAAUAUUCAAGAUGAAGUUAACCCCGAAAUCAAAUUUAAAUAUCACUAAGCGUUCAUAUUUUAAUAUCGGGCCGUAUAAAAUGUGUGACUAUGGACCAUUUUUCGGAGUUACGUUUAAUUUUAGGGAUAAUUUCGGGGUAUUUAUAAAAUUAUCGUACUGUUAACCGUAUGAGAGGCUUGAAAGUUAAAUAACUAUAACUAUGUGAAGUGUUGACAAGUUUGGGGUAAAAAUCUCUAUUUUUAAUAAUGAGUGUAAGAGAACUACUUUAGAAUUAACAUUGUUAUCAAACGCCCCGAUGUCUUAGAGGACAUCGGGGCGUCCUUUCAUUGGAUCGUAUUAAUUUAAGGGUUUUUUCACGUUAUUGUCAAAAUGGAGUAAAUAUAUUGACAAUAGGAUUUUUUUUGACGAAAUAAACAUUUCAAAAUAUA